Molecule: ribosomal RNA, 497 nt
Filed under: uncultured bacterium
Lineage: Bacteria
Description: partial 16S ribosomal RNA
Rfam family: Bacterial small subunit ribosomal RNA
Source: RNAcentral
GACGAACGCUGGCGGCGUGCCUAAUACAUGCAAGUUGAGCGCUGAAGGUUGGUACUUGUACCAACUGGAUGAGCAGCGAACGGGUGAGUAACGCGUGGGGAAUCUGCCUUUGAGCGGGGGACAACAUUUGGAAACGAAUGCUAAUACCGCAUAAAAACUUUAAACACAAGUUUUGAGUUUGAAAGAUGCAAUUGCAUCACUCAAAGAUGAUCCCGCGUUGUAUUAGCUAGUUGGUGAGGUAAAGGCUCACCAAGGCGAUGAUACAUAGCCGACCGGAGAGGGUGAUCGGCCGCAUUGGGACUGCGACACGGCCCAAACUCCUACGGGAGGCAGCAGUAGGGAAUCGUCGGCAAUGGACGAAAGUCUGUCCGAGCAACGCCGCGUGAGUGAAGAAGGGUUUCGGAUCGUAAAACUCUGUUGGUAGAGAAGAACGUUGGUGAGAGUGGAAAGCUCAUCAAGUGACGGUAACUACCCAGAAAGGGACGGCUAACUACGUG